This 29-nucleotide non-coding RNA is filed under the name Mus musculus (house mouse). The record is from RNAcentral. Lineage: Eukaryota; Metazoa; Chordata; Mammalia; Rodentia; Muridae.
UGAGCCUUCCCGUGCAACCUCCUGUGCCA